CAGCCAGAGCUGCCUGCCCCGGAGGUAAGCGGAUCUCUCUGUGUCGGCACACCCGGGAGCUGAGCCUCUGGCUGCCCCGGAAGACGGAAGACGGGCCGGAAGGCGGAGGGCAGCAAGGCCAGCUCCUGCCACCCCAAGGUUCCAGCCCUGACCCAAGGCACAAGGACCUCGGAGGGAUCUAUGGGGAUGACGUGUCUACCGACGGACAGAUCUCUCCCAGUGGCUCUCUUCCCUGCGGCCCCCUGACUGAUGGAGAUUUUUGCACCAAGGGUGAACCUAGAGGAAAAGGAUGUUAAGGCCGCCCACAGGAAGCCGGGAGCCCGACUGCUCGGAACUUGGUGGAACACCAAAGACCACCGUGAUGUCGGCGGGCUGCUCCUGUUGCUGCUGGACAGAGAGGUUCAAGAAAAGGGAGAGCUGGGGAAUCGCAAUUCCCUGCUUCAGUGCCGCAGACAUGAGGCAGGAGCCCGUGUGCCCUGCCCUGAGGGAGAGCCGGGUUCCCGCCAGCCGCAGGGCAGUGCGGCUCCGAGUCCGAGGCGGACCCUCCUCCCGUGAAGGGCUGAACUGCAACGUAGAAGGAACCCCCAGCCUCUCAGGGGGUCUGCUGCGGACGGGAGGGCGCUGGCAGCAUGGGCGGGAGUCCUGGGGGUUGGGCUGGGGCUGAGUGGGACAACCCUGGGGAAGGGGGAUCCCACACCCUCUUCCACGAGGCUUCUCUUCUGUGGAAGAGCCCCCCCGCCCCCGGUGGGCAGGGGCCUCCCCACCCCUACCCCAGGGCUUGCUGGCUCUCCGCAGGACCCACGCCCACUGCCCCUCUUUGCUUCUAGAGCCAGAACCAGACGCAAGUCCUAGCAGGCCCUGAAGCCCCAUCCAGGCCCCACCUCGGACAGACACAGGCCUGGGUUGGAACUGAGCACCAGGGACUCCAGGCACCAGCCCUGUCCCUGCGCUGCUGCACGGCCGUGAUACCAGCGGACACUGUGGGCAAGAAGCAGCCGCCAUCCUGACCUCGUGGUGAGACCCGGGCCAGAGACCGGGAGAUAAAUCCAACAGGGGUCCAGGGCCUUCUACCUCAGGAACAUUCCUGGAGGCCCAGGGUGUGGGGCAUGCCUAGAUAUGUCCCCUAAGAUGAAGGACAAAUUGUGGACUCGAGCCUAGUGGGCCUCUGUGGACAUCUCUCAUGGGGGCGUUACUCUAGCCCGUUCGCAGGGUGACCCCCAGAGCUGCUCACUGGGGCCAGAACAAGAGACCUGGCAGGUCCAGGCCGUGCGACCCAGCAGAGCCCAUGGCACCAGCAGUGUCGGUGUGGACGGAGGUGCUGUGGGGAGCCCCCUACACCGGCCUCUUGGGUUUGGGGCAGGAUGCUGCCGUCAGCCCCAGGUGACCACUGUCCUCUGAGAAACAGCUCUGGAUCUUCAUAGAGACCAGACCCUUGGCUUCAGGCCCCGAGUCACAGUGCCGCCUAGACUGGGCCUCACAGUCGGUGUGUGGUCUGAGCCACCAGGCUGUUGUCCCGUGGCAGGGGUGUGUGCGUGGUCAGGUCCGCACGGGCCCUGGAGGCAUGAGUAAGUCUCAUGAACAUGUGGCCCAAAUGCCCACGGCCCCAGCCCUGCUACACGCCACAAGAGCUGCUGAUCCUGGGCGCAGGGGCCCCCUCUUCUCUCUUUCCCGGCCUGGCCUGUGGCUUUGGGGGCAGCUCCUCCAGUCAGCUGACCGGGGAGAGGAGGCUCGGGACCGGCUGUCCGAUGGGUCUGCCCCGUGCUCAGGAGCUGCCACCCGGCAUGGACAGCUGUCACUCUCCAGCCUCUCCCCCGGAUGUCCCCGGAGAAUGUGGUGGAGGGGAGUCCCCCAGAGGGCAGGACUUGGGUCGUGCACCUGCUUGUGCACCGUGCUCCGAAGGAGAAACGGCCAGACGUGAUAUUACACGCUGGUUCGUGGCUGCAGCCAGUGGUUCGGCUGGACGGUCAGGGACUCGGAAGGACCGUGACCGGGAAAAUGAUGACAUGGGAAUUUGGGGAAGAGGUGUGUGGACGGGUAAAACAUGGAUAUCUGUGUCCUGUGUGAAUGCCCACCACGGGGGGAGGUUGCCAGGGGCCUUUCAUCAUCAAGCAGGUAGAUGGCCUGUUCUGGGGGUACCAGGCAGCCCCUUCCCCAGCCCCCCUGGCCACCGCCCCUGGGCUCUGGCAUAAAGUGGCCGUGCUGGCAGAGGGGGAGGCCACGUGUGGCUCAGCAGUGGGGACGUCACGCCCCAGGGCCCACCCGGCUCUGGCCCCCACUGUGUGCCCCGUGUGCCAGUGGUGGACGCCCACACGAACCCUCACCUGGAGCCCUUUCUGGAGCGACCAGCCAGCCACCUGCUGGCAGGCUGACAGCCCCAGAUGGCCUCCGUCGUGGGAAGGGCUGGGCUCUGUUCCUACUGGAAUAGACACGCAUUCGGGAUACAGACUUGCCUCUGCUGCAGGUGGACUCCACCAAAACGACAUCAUGGACUUCCAGAAUGCCCCGUUUGCCAUCCCCGUGUCCCACUGGCAGAGAAGGAGCUCGUUCACGCAGCUGGCUGACAGGACAGCGGAAGGGCCUUCUGAAGGCUGGUUCCAGCCCCAGCGAGGGGGCAGUACCCUGCAGCACCGGAUGGUGUCUCCCCGAAGGCCCUAGGUGCUCUGAGUGAGCAUCCCACGUUUGGGGCCGUGGCUUCCAGAGCCGGGAUUCAUGGGCCCAGGAAUCGGGGGGUGGAAAUGGCCGGGGCACCCUCACUCUCACCCCUAGUGCCUCACUAGCAGAACCUUCGCUUCCCGCCCCCACGACCUUGAGCUCUGCUGCCCUGAGGUCUCCAUGGCAGAGGGAGGAGGCUUCCGUCAGAGACACGGCCAUGGCUCCAGUGAGCGGGAAGCCAGACUGCUACUCGGCCACUUGGGGACCCUGCAUCCCCGAACCAGCAGGCAGAGAAGGGAGGUCCAGUGUUGGUGGGGUGGAGGGGCUGACCCUGUCGCCACGGGGACAUGGAACCACCGCUCCACAGUGGGGGAAGGAAGGAAGAGUGUUUGGACCAGAGCGGGUCCUGGGGGUGUCUCAUAGUUGCAGCACCCUGGGGUGGAGGUCGAUGGGCUCAGGCUGAAUCACCCCACCUGUCCUCUGGGGUCCCCGGCUUGCAGGCAGCAGACACUGGGGCAUCCCGGGCUUCCUGAGCCCUCGAACCUGUCUGUAACCUGAACCUCCUUUGGUCUCCUCCUGUGGCGUCUCUGGAGGACCCUGGCUGGGGCAUCCAUGCCAGACCUGUGGACCCGAAGCUUUAGCGUCUGGGGGUACUUCAUUUCCCAUGGUGUCUGCUUCCCCUGAAGCUGGAUUCCAGAGGGCUCCAGGCUUUCGAGUGACCCGAACACAAAGAAGUGACCCAUGUGAGGGCUACAGCCAGAGCUGUGAGUCUGGGGAAGGUGCCGGCCUGACCCAACUGGGCUCCCAGCCUCCCCACUCAUGACCAGACCCAGAGAACACAACUUGGAAGUCAGAAACUCUGAGGGGCAGAGAUGGAGGUGGGCAGUGGCCUCAGGCUGCAUGUGGAACAGGUACGGAGCCCAGAUGAAACAAGCAAGUGGUCCCCCUGCUCACCAGGCCCAGGGCCACGGAGUCACCUGCAUUUCUGCUGCUGCCCCCAUGCAGGUCCAGUCCAGUCUCACGAUGGGGAAGACCCCAGAGGGUCCAGACAGAACCACAUCGCUCCAGGGCUGGGGACCCAGAGGCAGGCAGAGCUGGCCUUGGAUACCGAAGGGUCUUCCUUCUCUGGGCUGCAUCCCACUCCCACCGAAAGCCAGCUCCUGAUCCUGUUUGCUGGAUGUGAGGCCCUCUCGGCAGAUCACCACCAGGCACCAGACGUAGGUGGUGUCCUGGGAGCACAGAGGGAGAAAAGGGUGUAUUUCCCUCUGGAUAUGCGCCCCCCACCCCAGGCACGCUGAGGGACAGGCUCUGGGAAGCAGGGGCUUUGGAAGGGUAGGGCAGGUUUCCAAGUGAUUUGAUAUCGAAGCUGAAUGGGACGCCAGCCACUGGGUGGGGGCAACGUGCAAAGGGGCUUGGAUUAAUCCCGAGGGCCAAGGCAUGACCCCACUCACCUCGAUAAGGUCCCUCUUGCUCUGAGGCAGUGGACAGAGGGGAGGAGGCAAAGCCAGAACCCAGGAGACCAGGAUGGGGGUGAAGGCAGCAUCUGAGGGCAGAUGGGGACGUGGCUGGGAAGGUGGUUGUGCCAGCCAAGAGCAGAGGAUGAGGAGCAGGUGGGAGCUCACACGCCACUGCCUGAGCACUGGCUGGGGAGGAGACCAGGUGGAGCAAUGGGCUCAGGAAAGACAAUUCAGCCUGCUGGGAGUUGAUUUUAAGGUGCCCGUGGGAUGACCAUGGAGUGGUCUAGGAGAUGGAGACAUGCCCGUCGUCCAGCGUAGGGGUCAGCAAGCUAUGGCCCGAGGUCGUCUGUUGCCUGUUUUUGUAUGCCCACAAGCCAAGAGCACUUGUCACAGUUUUAGAAGGUCAAAAAAAAAAAAAAUUAACAUUCAUUAUCUGCUACCAAAAAACU
This is an RNA transcript of Mustela erminea (ermine), 4558 nucleotides long. RefSeq lists it as uncharacterized. NCBI's taxonomy places the organism in Eukaryota, Metazoa, Chordata, Mammalia, Carnivora, Mustelidae. The transcript has 5 exons. The record is from RefSeq and is a predicted model, not a curated record.